This 459-nucleotide ribosomal RNA is filed under the name uncultured bacterium. RNAcentral's name for it is "partial 16S ribosomal RNA". It matches the Rfam family "Bacterial small subunit ribosomal RNA", at positions 338 to 795 of the family's 1533-position model. The record is from RNAcentral.
CCUACGGGGGGCAGCAGUGAGGAAUAUUGGUCAAUGGGCGGAAGCCUGAACCAGCCAAGUCGCGUGCAGGACGAAGGUCCUACGGGUUGUAAACUGCUUUUGCAAGGGGAUAACAUCCUGCACUUGAGGCUGUCUGCGGGUACUGUGCGAAUAAGCACCGGCUAAUUCCGUGCCAGCAGCCGCGGUAAUACGGAGGAUGCGAGCGUUAUCCGGAUUCAUUGGGUUUAAAGGGUGCGUAGGCGGACUGUUAAGUCAGCUGUAAAAGCCCGGGGCUCAACCCCGCUGAGCAGUUGAAACUGGGCGCCUUGAGUUCACAAGAGGCAGGCGGAAUUCGUGGUGUAGCGGUGAAAUGCAUAGAUAUCACGAGGAACUCCGAUUGCGAAGGCAGCCUGCCGGCGUGCGACUGACGCUGAGGCUCGAAGGUGUGGGUAUCAAACAGGAUUAGAUACCCGGGUAGUC